GCAGAUGUAGUUCAAUGGUAGAACGAGACCUUGCCAAGGUUUAGACGCGAGUUCGAUUCUCGUCAUCUGCUCCA
RNAcentral lists this transfer RNA (74 nucleotides) under Mycoplasmoides gallisepticum. RNAcentral describes it as "tRNA-Gly". It matches the Rfam family "tRNA". From Rfam's summary of the family: Transfer RNA (tRNA) molecules are approximately 80 nucleotides in length. Lineage: Bacteria; Bacillati; Mycoplasmatota; Mycoplasmoidales; Mycoplasmoidaceae. The record is from RNAcentral. RNAcentral also lists the same sequence under 2 other names.